UUGAGGCGUGGCUUCCGGAGCUAACGCGUUAAGUCGACCGCCUGGGGAGUACGGCCGCAAGGUUAAAACUCAAAUGAAUUGACGGGGGCCCGCACAAGCGGUGGAGCAUGUGGUUUAAUUCGAUGCAACGCGAAGAACCUUACCUACUCUUGACAUCCAGAGAACUUUCCAGAGAUGGAUUGGUGCCUUCGGGAACUCUGAGACAGGUGCUGCAUGGCUGUCGUCAGCUCGUGUUGUGAAAUGUUGGGUUAAGUCCCGCAACGAGCGCAACCCUUAUCCUUUGUUGCCAGCGGUCCGGCCGGGAACUCAAAGGAGACUGCCAGUGAUAAACUGGAGGAAGGUGGGGAUGACGUCAAGUCAUCAUGGCCCUUACGAGUAGGGCUACACACGUGCUACAAUGGCGCAUACAAAGAGAAGCGAACUCGCGAGAGCAAGCGGACCUCAUAAAGUGCGUCGUAGUCCGGAUUGGAGUCUGCAACUCGACUCCAUGAAGUCGGAAUCGCUAGUAAUCGUAGAUCAGAAUGCUACGGUGAAUACGUUCCCGGGCCUUGCACUCACCGCCCGUCAA
This 568-nucleotide ribosomal RNA is filed under the name Enterobacterales bacterium. Its description in RNAcentral is "bacterial SSU rRNA". It matches the Rfam family "Bacterial small subunit ribosomal RNA", at positions 832 to 1400 of the family's 1533-position model. Lineage: Bacteria; Pseudomonadati; Pseudomonadota; Gammaproteobacteria; Enterobacterales. The record is from RNAcentral.